CAGCAGCCGCGGUAAUACGAAGGGUGCAAGCGUUACUCGGAAUUACUGGGCGUAAAGCGUGCGUAGGUGGUGGUUUAAGUCCGUUGUGAAAGCCCUGGGCUCAACCUGGGAAUUGCAGUGGAUACUGGGUCACUAGAGUGUGGUAGAGGAUAGUGGAAUUUCCGGUGUAGCAGUGAAAUGCGUAGAGAUCGGAAGGAACAUCUGUGGCGAAGGCGACUAUCUGGGCCAACACUGACACUGAGGCACGAAAGCAUGGGGAGCAAACAGGAUUAGAUACCCGUGUAGUCCCUGUCUCUUAUAC
Molecule: ribosomal RNA, 301 nt
Filed under: uncultured bacterium
Lineage: Bacteria
Description: partial 16S ribosomal RNA
Rfam family: Bacterial small subunit ribosomal RNA
Source: RNAcentral